AGUGACAAGCCGAUGGACAAGUCAACUCUUUCGGAACAUGAACUUCGCGUUGAGUUUCAAGGAAUUCGACGGAGUGUCAAAUCAAGCAGAGGACAGACUAUCUAGUUCGGACAUAUCACAAUCAGUGUCUAGUGAUUCAGAUUCAGAACAAGAAACGAACAUGCUUGAAACUCGCUCUACAUCUUGUAAGAAAAAAACUACAUUGCAAGCUACCGUGUCAAAUGAUCGAGACUUAGAAGCAGACAAUCCAGUACAUGAAUUGACAGGUGACAAAACCACAAGCAAAAUUAGACGUAAUCGCAAGGCAAAUCCCGAUAGUUGGAAGUGUGUACAAGCAAAAAUUUUAAGGAAUCAUGGCAAAGCGUAUUUAAAUAUGAAGAACAAACUAGUUCCUGCAAGACAAUUGAAAACCCCAUGUGGAGAUCAGUGCAAAUUAAAAUGUAAAGAAAAAAUUACAGAAUUACAAAGACAGAUUAUAUUUAAAGACUACUGGGAUUUUGGUGACUUGGAACGGCAGCGGGAAUAUAUUAAACGACAUAUUUCCGAAAUUAAGCCAAGAUACUCGUACAAGGUACACAACAGUAAUCGGGGAAAUAAUUUUGCAUGUUAUUUUUCGGUUGGAGAUAAAAAAAUUAGAGUCUGCAAGACUUUCUUCAAAGCCACUCUUGAUAUCAGUGACAGAACUAUCAGGACUGUAAUCCAAAAAACCACAGACACGGGCAAUUUAGAAGAUCGUCGAGGAAAACACAAGAACCACGCUUGUAAAUUUAAAUUGUCGCCAAUUUCUCAUAAAAGGUCACACUCAAAAUGAGGGUGAUAGUGUUCACUCUAUUAUAGAGCGUCAAUCCAAAAGAAGCGUUAAAUAUGGAGCGAUAUACACAUCAUAUUGAUAUACACAGACAACGGCGGCAGCAGAGCAGUAAAGAAAAACGUAGUAACAACAGAAUAUAAUUUUCAAAUUAUUUUCACGCGUACGAAGUCGCGGGCACAGAAUCAGACAUGGCAAACCGAUGGACACGUCAAAUCUUUCGGAACAUGAACUUCGCGUUGAGUUUCGAGGGAAUUGAAGAGGUGUCAAAUCAAGCAAAGGACAGACCAUCUAGUUCAAGCUCUUGUUCGGACAUAUCACAAUCAGCGUCUAGUGAUUCAGAACAAGAAACGAACAUGCUCGAAACUCGCUCUAAAUCUUGUAAGAAAAAAACUACAUCGCAAGCUACCAUAUCAAAUGAUCCAGACUUACAAGUAGACAAUCCAGUAGAUGAAUUGACAGGUGACAAAGAAACCACAAGCAAAAUUAGUCGUAAUCGCAAGGCAAACCACGAUAGUUGCAAACGUGUACGAACAAAAAUGUUAAGGAAUCACGGCAAAGCGUAUGUAAGCUCAAGGAACAAACUAGUUCCUGCAAGACAAUUGAAAACCCCAUGCGGAGAUCAGUGCAAAUUAAAAUGUAAAGAAAAAAUUACAGAAUUACAAAGACAGAUUAUAUUUCAAGACUACUGGGAUUUUGGUGACUUGGAACGGCAGCGGGAAUAUAUUAAACAGCACAUUUCAGAAAUCAAGUCAAAAUACUUGUAUAAAGUACAUAACAGUAACCGGAGAAAUAGUUUUGCUUUUUAUUUUUCGGUAGAAGAUAAACAUAUUAGAGUCUGCAAGACUUUCUUCAAAGCCACUCUUGACAUCAGUGACAAGACUAUCAGGACUGUAAUCCGAAAAACCACAGACACGGGAAUUCUAGAAGAUCGUCGAGGAAAACACAACAACCACCCUAGUAAAUUUAAAUUGUCGCCAAUUCCACAUAAAAGGUCACACUCAAAAUGAAGGUGACAGCUAUGGUGACAGUGUUCAUUCUAUUAUAGGGCGUCAAUCCAAAAGAACCCUUAAAUCUGGAGCGAUUUACGCACUCAAGAAAGCGAAGCAGUUAAGAAAAAUUUUGUAAAUAUUGAAAUUAUUCAAACUAUUUUCACGCAUCCAAAGCCGCUGACACAGAUAGUCUGUGUACUACAACCAAUUUUUCAAAUUACAUGUCAUUUCACUCUAAAGCUUUCACGCCGGCGCGAUCAUAGACCAAUGACAGGUCGCGUGAACUGUCAUGGAUCACGUGAUCUGUCAUUGGCCUAUGAUCGCGCCGGCGAUGGCGAUCUGCACGCGUAGGUGUGGUUAAGGGUUCGGACAAACCAACGCGAUCACACCGCGAUCAGCCGGCGUGCAGCGAUGGCGACCAGACCUAAAUGCAUUGAUCGCCAUCGCUGCACGCCGGUUGAUCGCGUUGGUUUGGCCGAACCUUAAAACAGACGUAGUGUUUAAAUAAUUUUAAAAAUGUG
This is a long non-coding RNA of Ostrinia nubilalis (European corn borer), 2321 nucleotides long. RefSeq lists it as uncharacterized. NCBI's taxonomy places the organism in Eukaryota, Metazoa, Arthropoda, Insecta, Lepidoptera, Crambidae. The transcript is spliced from 4 exons. The record is from RefSeq and is a predicted model, not a curated record.